UACGGAGGGUGCGAGCGUUGUCCGGAAUCAUUGGGCGUAAAGGGCGCGUAGGUGGCCUGGUCAGUCCGUGGUGAAAGCGCGGGGCCCAACCCCGCGUCGGCCAUGGAUACUGCGAGGCUGGAGCACUGUAGAGGCAGGCGGAAUUCCAGGUGUAGCGGUGAAAUGCGUAGAUAUCUGGAGGAACACCGGUGGCGAAGGCGGCAUCCUGGACCGGCAUUGACGCUGAGGCGCGAAAGCCAGGGGAGCAAACGGG
Molecule: ribosomal RNA, 253 nt
Filed under: uncultured bacterium
Lineage: Bacteria
Description: partial 16S ribosomal RNA
Rfam family: Bacterial small subunit ribosomal RNA
Source: RNAcentral